CAGAAGAAUGGGAGAAAGAGGGAAAAUCUUUGUGGAUAUCCUUUCUGCCGUCAACACGGCCACCAAGCAUGUGCUUCUUGCCGGUAGGAGUGAUGUUCAUGACUGCAAGCUCAGUCACUGAGGUUGGGGACAACUGGGAGACUGUCUCCAAACUCGGAAAGUUUUCGGCAGUGGUUGUUACCUCCAGCCCUCAGACUGAGGUGUACAUAUCAUGUUGGACGUCAGCCAGCUAUCUCCCAUGCGCCCUAGAGAAGAUUGAGUGACUCUUUACCGUGGAAAAGGUCUGCCCUGUGCACAACCUUUAAAUUAUGAAUCCAUAGCGACUUCUUUUCCGCAUCUUGGGCUUUGCUUUCAGAAAACUAUCAUUCAGAGCUCACCAAAUGAUACUGGUUUACGCUCGAAAGAUUUCCCCAUACGACCCUUCCUUUACUUUCUCUGCUGGCUCGCUGUUACAUGUCAGGUGUUGAUGCACCUCUCCGCUGCUCCCGGCCUCCUUUGCUGGUCUGUUCUCUUGCUGUCCUAACCCUACCACAGGUUCCCCUCCAUGGUUGGUCCAUGCAUCAGAUCCUCCCUCAGCUUCACCCGCUCCUCUGAUUGGGCUGCGUAUUUAUCUGCUGCCCAUUUCCUAUUAUUUGAAGCUCAUCCUCCUUCACUCCUCACACUGUGAAGGAGGACCGUGAGAAGGAGGACCUAACGAUAUCAUAGUGACGUCAUCACAAUUUAUCUCAGUUCAGAAACUACAAAUUUACAACAGACAGCUUGCGAUGUGGAGUUUGAAGGAGGAAGGGUGUGUAUCAGACAGUGAGGGUCUAAUGAAAAGAUGUUGUUGCAUUGUGGGAAAUGUAGGAUCAGAGUGUUUGGAGCUUAACCCAUAUUAAGGACUAAAAGUUAGGAUAUGUCCACCUCUGUUGCUUUCAUUUUGAACUUUUGUUUAUUGUUAUCAUUAUUUUCCCUAUUGUAAAUCCUAUAAAUA
This is a long non-coding RNA of Xiphias gladius (swordfish), 973 nucleotides long. RefSeq lists it as uncharacterized. The transcript is spliced from 3 exons. NCBI's taxonomy places the organism in Eukaryota, Metazoa, Chordata, Actinopteri, Istiophoriformes, Xiphiidae. The record is from RefSeq and is a predicted model, not a curated record.